GGUAUUAUAUUUUAAAAAGAAAACUUAACUUGCAAUUAAUAAGUAAUAAACUAUAUGUUAUUUAAUACCA
This 70-nucleotide transfer RNA is filed under the name Tremoctopus violaceus. RNAcentral's name for it is "tRNA-Ala". The record is from RNAcentral. Lineage: Eukaryota; Metazoa; Mollusca; Cephalopoda; Octopoda; Tremoctopodidae.